Molecule: ribosomal RNA, 644 nt
Filed under: Epsilonematidae sp. 488_5-1000
Lineage: Eukaryota; Metazoa; Nematoda; Chromadorea; Desmodorida; Epsilonematidae
Description: eukaryotic LSU rRNA
Rfam family: Eukaryotic large subunit ribosomal RNA
Source: RNAcentral
UGAGAGUUCAAGAGGGCGUGAAACCGCUUAGAAGCAAACAGAUGGACCUGAUGAAAAGCCAGCGGAAUUCAGUACUUUGCUCCACCUCUUGCCAGUGCCAGAUGUCUCACUGGUUGCUGAGCACCGAUGUGGUCAAGGGAUGCAUUUUUCGCUGGUGUGCACUGGAAGCUGUGCUUGUGCUGGAAGAAAACCGGGGAAUGAGGACCAUAUCUGAUGGUGUCUCUUUGCUGGAAAAAGCCUGGUUGCGAGCACAGUCUAACUGUGACACCCGCCUCUACUCUGGUGUGUCUGGAACCUUGCUGAGACUACUGAUUCUUGCUUGCAAGGUUUGGUGUCUUGUAGCGAGGAGAAUGGCGCACGCAGAGAUGGUGUUAUUCCAGUGUUUGUGUCAGCACCCCAUCUGACCCGUCUUGAAACACGGACCAAGGAGUCUAACAUGUGCGCGAGUCAUUGGGUGGUGAAACUCAUAGGCGCAAUGAAAGUGAAGUCCAGUUUGGCUGGAUGAAAUGGGAGCUUCGACUCGUGUCGGAGUGCACCAUAGUCCCGUCUGAUCUGCUUGUCAGACAGGCGGAGAUGGAGCGUACAUGCUGGGACCCGAAAGAUGGUGAACUAUGCCUGAGCAGGAUGAAGUCAGAGGAAACUCU